AACGCGAAGAACCUUACCUGGGUUUGACAUGCACAGGACGCUGCCAGAGAUGGUAGUUCCGCAAGGUCUGUGUACAGGUGGUGCAUGGCUGUCGUCAGCUCGUGUCGUGAGAUGUUGGGUUAAGUCCCGCAACGAGCGCAACCCUCGUUCCAUGUUGCCAGCGCGUAAUGGCGGGGACUCAUGGGAGACUGCCGGGGUCAACUCGGAGGAAGGUGGGGAUGAGGUCAAGUCAUCAUGCCCCUUAUGUCCAGGGCUUCACACAUGCUACAAUGGCCGGUACAGAGGGCUGCGAAGCCGUAAGGUGGAGCGAAUCUCACAAAGCCGGUCUCAGUUCGGAUCGGGGUCUGCAACUCGACCCCGUGAAGUCGGAGUCGCUAGUAAUCGCAGAUCAGCAACGCUGCGGUGAAUACGUUCCCGGGCCUUGUA
RNAcentral lists this ribosomal RNA (426 nucleotides) under uncultured Actinomycetes bacterium. RNAcentral describes it as "bacterial SSU rRNA". It matches the Rfam family "Bacterial small subunit ribosomal RNA", at positions 958 to 1385 of the family's 1533-position model. The record is from RNAcentral. Lineage: Bacteria; Bacillati; Actinomycetota; Actinomycetes.